Long non-coding RNA from Canis lupus familiaris (dog), 1927 nucleotides. RefSeq lists it as uncharacterized. NCBI's taxonomy places the organism in Eukaryota, Metazoa, Chordata, Mammalia, Carnivora, Canidae. The transcript has 5 exons. The record is from RefSeq and is a predicted model, not a curated record.
UUGCAUGGCAUGUGCAAAGAUCUGCUGUGGAAGCCGGAGCAAGCCCGUUGCCUCCUCUGGGUCACUGUCUCCAUCCUUAUGAGACGGGCCAUAUGAAAUGGUCUCUGAGUCCUCUUCCCACUCUGCUGUCUGCCCAUUAUGGCUGACCCUGCACUCAGAUCCUGGAGAUCCUGGGUAGGGCAGCCCAGGCAAGAACUCUGAGCUCAACUUGGAAGAGAUGAGGACAUUCCUGAGCUCUGCCUCUACGCAGCCUCAGACACCCCCACCCUCUCUCAGCCCAACCUUCCUCUUCUGCCAGGUUCUGGACAAGUGGGGAUGUAACACAGCCUGCUGUAACCACCUUAGCAGGCUGGGCCUGAGCGUCUUCUGUGAGGAAUCCAUCCAACCCAACAGAGAGACACCCUGAAGCCGAGUCCCCCACUUGGUGCAGGGGGCUCAGUGUUCAGCCUUAAGCGCAAGGUGAGGAUCACGUGGGCGUCGGUGGAGCAGACCUGGGAGACCUGGGUCCAAGGAGACACCACCGUGCGGGUUCAUCCAGUGCCAGGACAGGCUGCUCUCAAGGCCCCAUUCUGGUCUCAUCUGAACAAUUUGGGAGAAGGCUGCAGGCACCCAGAGAGGACAGGCUCCAACCCGCCCCAGGAGUGAUGCCUGAGACCAAGGGGAAAGAUGGACAGUGGAUAUUCUGGGCGAGGCAGAGAGCACCACACAGCCCUAGGGUUCCUGUGCUGGUGUGCACUGCAGCUCCAGCUUCGCAGAAUUGCCAAGGAGACCGUGAGCAACCCCACACAGGAUGGUCUCAUCCCGGCUUACACCCCACAGUGCACAUGCAGAGCACAUAUAUGAAGAAUGAAUACACGAAGCCACCAGGAACUCACUCUAUCUGGAUGAGGCUGAAACUUCAGGCUACCUGGCUAAUCAGAGCAUUCCACGGCCUUGAGCUCAGUGAUUGGGCCUGAGGCAGUCACAUGAUCCACAUCAGCCAAUGAGAGGAAGACCUGGGAUUCUUGGCAGAGUUACCAGGAGAGAAAUGCUGCUUUUUCAUGGGGAUUACCUAGCGGUAGAACAUAAGCCUGGAACCAUCAGUGCCCAUCUUCGAGGCUUUCUGCGGGAAGCUCCUGUCUGUGAAUGAAGCCAGAACCAAAGAGAGCAAAGCCAAAAGUUAGAAAUGCAUAUGUAUGCAAGGGUGGUAUUGGAGUCCCUGGACCCAGCCAGGUCUGAAGCCAGCACUACUCCUGGGUUUUUCAGCUACAUGAGCCAAAAAAAAUGUCUGUUUUGAGUAAGCCACUUUGAAUUAGGUUUCUGUCAUUUCCAAAUUAAGUCACCAGGUGUGAGAAUCUUUUUCUAUCUAAAAAAUCACAUUAGGAAAAAAGAGCUUAACAAAGUGGUAAUAGUGGCAGUCACCCACAGACAGCCCUGGGGGCUUGUGGUACAGGGCUGGGCAACAGAUUCAUUUUUUAUUAUGUAUACAGAUUCUCUAAAAAUUUUUUCACCAUUAGAGUGGAUUUUCAAAUUUUUAUAUUUUCAUAUAAAAUUCAAUCAUUUAUAUUCAAGCCAUGUAACUUGUUAUUUAAAGAACAAUAGAAACAAUUUGUUCACUUACCUAAACACAUUUACUUAUUUCUUAAUUAUAGUGUGUAAUUUUAGAAAAUUUGAAAAGUACCAAAAUAUUGUAAAGAAGAUGAUUCCAAGCGUCUGUAAACCCAUCAUGGUUGGCAUUUUUUUUUUGGUCUUUAAUUACUUUUCAUAUUUUUGUUGUUGUUCAAUCUUAUUUAAUUCCUACAGCAACCAUAUGAGGUAAGUACCACCAGUGCCCCAUUUUACAGAGGAUAAAACUGACUUAUAAAGAGGAAAAGUGACUCACUGAAAUUCAGAGCUCCUUUUUUUUCUUAAAGAUCUUAUUUAUUUAGCCAGGAUGGGGGAGGGGAGG